UCUCAUGUAUACUAGUUUCAUAGAAUGCGAAAGAGUGGUGGGAGGAACAAUUAGAGAACACAUCAGAAAGUUGUGUGAGUGGUUGGAGGGUUUGGAGCGAUAGGUUGUUUUUAAGGAUAUCAUAGUAUGUGGAUGGAUGAUAUAGAUGUAAUCUUAGGUGAGUUAAUUGUCGGGGUUCGCAGUAACUGUAAGAUUUGAAAAUAUAAUAUUAUAACUAAUAUUUUGAAAGGAAAUAAGGACACCUCAUCACCGACCCAAUGAAUAAAAGGACUCGGGGCAUUUAUCGGGGCACUCAUUGUAUACUUUCCAGACCACCGCCGAACGUGUGCCAGUCAGUGGCGGAUCUAUUAAGGGACCACCCGAAGCUCAGAAAAAUGACCGUGAGGAUCUUCAAGGACCACCCAAGUCUGGGCAGUGAUGGAGAAGAACAGCAGCCAUGGCUGCUCUAGUCGCUGUGCAUUUCAAAAUGAGGAAGAAGAAAGCCAAUUUUUUUUUUAAAAUGACUUAGCCAAAACGACGUCGUUCUGAGCCAAACCAUUAAAAAAAAAAUUAAAACCUCACUGCUCACUCACGUGAGAACCCUCAGACUCAGCUCCUUCACACAGCAAUCACAACUUCACUUUACCAAAUUGUUCAAUUCUCUUCGUUCUCAUUACCAAAUCCUUCACACAACAAGGUCCGCUCUCGUUCCUUACGGCGUUGGCAUCAAUCAACUCUCUUCUGCACUGCACUCUAGUUUCUGAAUCUGAAUCUGAUUGCCUGCACUGCACAACAAUCAGAACUUCACUCUCUUCUCGCUCUCGUUCCUUCAGAUUAAAAACAAAGAUGUGCGAAAUUUGGCAAACACUGAGUUUCUUCUAGUGAAGAAGGAUUGGUCUUCUAAAAUUCAGGGACUAUUUCAUAGAGUAUAGUGAGUUGAUCAAGCUGCAGCCUUUGGAAGGCGUAAACUAUAUAUUCUACAAUCUAUGCGUUUAUAUUGAGAAAGAUGUUUUUUCUUGUAUUGACAAUGAAACUAUCAUGACACGUUUUCAAAGUAUGAGAUCCCGUCGUGGACAAAUUUAGUAUUUCUAGCUUGUUUAGCACAAAGAUUAUGAAUGAAAUUUGUAGUUUGCCAUUUAUUUGUUCAAUGAUAUUUUCGUCUUGUUUUUUUUUUUU
This is an RNA transcript of Malus domestica (apple), 1155 nucleotides long. RefSeq lists it as uncharacterized. NCBI's taxonomy places the organism in Eukaryota, Viridiplantae, Streptophyta, Magnoliopsida, Rosales, Rosaceae. The record is from RefSeq and is a predicted model, not a curated record.